UACGUAGGUGGCAAGCGUUGUCCGGAAUUAUUGGGCGUAAAGCGCGCGCAGGUGGUUUCUUAAGUCUGAUGUGAAAGCCCACGGCUCAACCGUGGAGGGUCAUUGGAAACUGGGGAACUUGAGUACAGAAGAGGAAAGUGGAAUUCCACGUGUAGCGGUGAAAUGCGUAGAGAUGUGGAGGAACACCAGUGGCGAAGGCGACUUUCUGGUCUGUAACUGACACUGAGGCGCGAAGGCCAGGGGAGCAAACGGG
This 253-nucleotide ribosomal RNA is filed under the name uncultured bacterium. RNAcentral describes it as "partial 16S ribosomal RNA". It matches the Rfam family "Bacterial small subunit ribosomal RNA", at positions 524 to 776 of the family's 1533-position model. The record is from RNAcentral.